Molecule: long non-coding RNA, 29073 nt
Filed under: Vigna radiata
Lineage: Eukaryota; Viridiplantae; Streptophyta; Magnoliopsida; Fabales; Fabaceae
Description: long non-coding RNA (VRAD_LNC000930)
Source: RNAcentral
CCUUGGUCGCUCCAUCGGCAGUUUGGAAGUGUGCACCAUAACUAACUCACAAAGAUGUGUGAUCAAAGAUGGGUGCCCAAAGGUUCUUUGUUGUUCACAGAACUAGCACAAGUCUGAAUCUCAUUUGCUUUGACCUGCCCAAUGAUAAUAUUCAACCCCCUAAGCACACAAAAAAGGAAGAUGACCCUACCGACAUUGAUAUCAAACACAUGAGAACAUGACUAAAUGAAUGAGUGAAUGCCAUUCAGUAGUUUGCCAAAGGAUUCAAACAAGAUCUCCUAAUAUGAAUGAGUGCAUCACUCCUGUUUCUCCAGAAGUGUCCUCCAAGUACACACAAUGUCCUCUCUAUAUCAUCAAAAUCUGCUCCCUCCUCCAUAUUCAGUGCAAACUGACAUUGCUCACCAGCCCACUCAGUAUGCAGAAACUGUUAAUGGUGUCAGGGUCAUUCUGAAUACUCUUUCCUCUCACAUUUGUUCAUGUAUUCCUCUUUAUGAGAGUCGCCCAAUGCCUUUGCGUUGGUGUUGAAUUCCUUGACUACUGCUAUGUUUGCUGGUGUAGGGUAAGCAGUUACAUUCUCCCAUUCUUUUCUUUCUAAUUCCUCUCCAAAUUGUGGGGCCAAGGAUGGUAUCCACCCCACUUUUCGCUCCAUCAAAAGUUUUCGGUCUUGGACUAUUAGGAAGUGUUGCUUAUGUCUACGAGAAAGGAACUUGUUAAAAUAGAAAGGUUUUGGCUCCUUUCUCUUGUUUUCCAUGGUCUUAACUCUUUUCCCUGAUGAGGAGGUCAUCCCUACAUCAAAAUAAUUCACAAAACCACAAGAAGUAUUAUCAAGUAUUAGUAUAUGAGCAUAAAAAACAAUCCAAAAUCACUCUUCUAAUCACCGCUAAGGGCAAAACAAGGGACCUUAGCGUCACCCACAACAAGAAACAUCUAACCAGACAACACACAAAUGGCCAACAACCAAGAAAACGCAAUCUGCAAAAAUCACGUUGAGUGCCCCUUAGAGGGUGCUCAGUGCCAGACAGUUCAAAUUCAAAAUAACCCUAGCUCGCCUUAAGCGCUACUCACAUGCAUUUUUUUCAUAGUUCCAGUCCUCAAUCAAGCAAUUUAAUCAGUCCAAACAAUGAUUAUUUCAACUAAUCAUGCAUAAACAUCAAAUUUCCUCAAGAAUCAUGCUUAGACAACCACAUUCAUUCAAAAUUAUGCUUUCAAAUGCCCUAGAAUGUAGAAUGCAUGUACAUACUUGGUUGAAAAUGCUAAAUGUGUGAAGAAUGCCAAAUGAAAUUGGGAUAUCAAACCCUAACAAUAGUGCUCUCAACAAACCCCAAACUUGGAUGGAAAGCUGGAGCAAAAUGGGUGGAGAAAGGGUUUUAUGGAGGAUGAAGGAGAAAAUGGAGAGAAAACCUUUGGAGAGUGCUUUGAAGUGGCUAGAAUGAGUGAAGGGUGAGAGUGACUGUUAGGGCGAGACCUAAGGUAAGGAACGUAUCUAAUGGGCCAACUCACGUUGAGCCCAAUUUAAUUAUAAAAGCCAUCUGUUUAAGAAAUCGCGCUCAGCGCCCCAAACUGGUGCUUAGCGAUGAAUGAGGCACGAACUCUCUCUUUUCUUGCUCACCCUAAGCGUUCUUAACCAAAUCACCUCAGCUUCAACUCUCAAUUUUUUCAAAUAUCAUGUAUUUUCCACUGACUUUACACACCCUCACUUAAUCAAUAUAUUUAAUCUCUCACACCACUCAAACAUUCAACAAUUAAGAACCUAUAAUGCAACUAGAACAUACAUAAAUUAAAACAAACAAAGAUAAAUUCAAACAACUGGGUUGCCUCCCAGGUAGCGCUUGUUUAACGUCACGAGUCUGACCCAUGGAUCCUCCAGCAUCCUUCAGUAGGCACCUAUCUUCUCACCAACACCUAUUAGUAGGUGUGUAAAACCAUAAUAUCCUUCAGUAGAUACUCUAUCACCUAGCAUCCAUCAGUAGAUGUUGUGCCAUAGUAGUCGCAUAACAAUGUUCCAAAGUUUUAAAUUACAUUACCAAAAUAAACAGUAAAUUAAAGAAAUCAAUGUUUUUAAAUCACAGUGGUGCCUCCCAGUAAGCGUUGUUUUAACAUCAUUAGCUUGACCCAGUAAAGCUCAAGUUCCAUCUUUAAUGUUGGUUUUUUUCUUGUUUUCAUCACACCAACUCAUCAAUUGCUUUCGGUCCACCUUCUUGACUUGUGUUGAAUACGGAGCUUCAAUCUUUAUCACUCCACUCUCUUUAAAAUCUUUCACAAGCCACGACUUGCUCUUGAAUCUUACAGGUGUGCCAAGUUUUAAUUGUGCAUCCACCAAGUCAUAAUGAACCAUCCUUCCUUUGUCGUCGUUUUCUUCUUCCCUAACUUGUGACAAGAAACAAUUUUUACCUUUGAUGACCUGCUUGGCAGCUUUAAGGCUAGUCACUGGUGCAUCCUCACAUGCAACUUUAUGACUAAUCUUCUUUCUUGAAUUUGUUGCUUGGAUUUGAAGACAAUAAAGAUCGCCUUUUCCUCUCGGCCUUGAAGCACUAUCAAUCCAUCAUCCACAUUGAUGAUUACCUUUGUUGUUUUCAUGAAUGGCCUUCCAAGAAUAAUUGGGAUCUUCUCAUCUUCCUCCAUCUCCAUCACCACAAAGUCUACCAGGAAUUUAAGUUUCUCUAUACAAACCACAACAUCUUCCGCUACACCAUAGGAUUUCUUGGAAGAUCCAUCCCCCAUAAGCAAAGUCACCUUUGUUAGUUUGACUUCAAGAUCAUCAAUCCUUUCAAGCAGUGAUAAGGGCAUCAAAUUAAUGCUUGACCCUAAAUUAGUUAGGUCUUUCCUUAUAUUCACCUUCUCAAUGACGCAAGGAAUAGUAAAACUUCCUGGAUCUUUCACCUUUGGAGGAAGUGGUUUCUUCAAAAUAAUAGUGCAAUUACCCUAUUCAUCCAUAGUUUCCUCAUCUAAGUAUCUCUUUUUUAUGAGGAAUUGCUUCAUGUGCUUCUCAUAAAAGGUAUAGUCAUCUCCAAUUACUUGAAGAUCUCCUUAAAACACUCACAUUGCCUCUCUUUAUCAAUUUUUUCACGCCCCUUAGGAUAAGGAAGAGCUUUUUCAAUUUUCUCAAUUUUUUUCGCUCCCCUGUUCUUUUCUUUCUCUUUCGUCUCAACCUCACCUAUUCUUUCUUGUUUUUCUUCUCUCUUCCCUAACUCAACUUCUUCUUUGCUCUCUUCCACCCUCUAAUCGUCUAUGCUCACAAUAGCUUUACAUUCUUCCUUAGGGUUAACCUCAGCGUUAGCCCCAAAUUGCUUUUCUACUUUAUCUUCCAUCUUCUUGGCCAGUUGGCCGACCUACAUCUCCAAAUUUCUUAUAGCAGCUUCAGUGCUCUUGUGAUUGAAGAUAGUCACCUGGAUAAAUUGUUCAAGGGUGUCUUUUAGCUUUAUUGAUCUUUCAUUUAACGCAGAUACAUGUUGCCAUAGUGAUGGUUGUUGUUAUGGUCUAUUGAAUUGCCUUGCUUGUCCAGCUUGUCCACUUUGACCUUGACCCAUGCUUGGCUGAGGUUUCCACCCUUGUUUGAAGUUCCCUUGGCGAAAUUUGAAUUGAUUACCCAUAUAAUUGACAUCUUCUUAGGCCUCCACUAGAAAAUCACAUUGACCAUUGAUAUGAUCACCACUACAUAAUUCACAUAGUUGUUGUUGAACCUGUGAAACGUUCUUCAUCUCCUUUGGCAACUGAGCGAGGGUCUUCAUCGAAUUCUCCAACUGUUGAGUUACUAUUUUAUUUUGUGCAAGCAAGGCAUCUUGAGGUUGUAAUUGUAGAAUUCCCUUUUGUUGAGGUGGAGCUCCUCUUUCACUGUGCAUCUCGUUAUCAUUAGUAGCCAUGUUGUCGAUCAACUCAAAAGCUUCCUCUGGAGUCUUCAUCUUGAUAUUACCUCCAAUUGAGGCAUCUAGCAUUAAUUUCGUCUGAGAGCUAAAACCUCCAAGGAAUAGACGGACUACCGUAGCUUCAUCAAAGCCAUGUUUGGGCGUCUUUCUCAGCAAGCUUUUGUAUAUAUCCCACGCUUGACCUAAAGUUUCAUCCAUGCCCUGCCUGAAAGAAGAAAUUUCUCGCUUACCCUAGUUGAUUUUUUACUAUGGGAAGUACUAGUUCAAAAACUUUGAAACCACAGAUUCUCAUUCAGUAAAGCUAUCCUCCAGGAAAGAAUUUAACCAUAGCUUAACAUUGCCUCCCAAUGAGAAAGGAAACGAGCUAAGUUUUAUAGCAUCAUCCGACACACCAUUGAUCUUCACAGUGUUACAAAUCUCGUUGAAUGUGGUCAGAUGUUCAUAUGGACUUUCAUGAGACAGUCCAUUAAAUUGAUUGCUCUUCGCCAAUUAUAUCAACGCUGGUUUCAACUCCAUAUUCGUAGUCAUUGACCCUCGGCCUUGCAAUGCUAUUAAAGUGAUGAGGGCCAAGAAUAGUGUAAUCCGCUAGAGUUCGUCUGCCAUUGUUAUCUUCAGCCAUCUCUUCAGUACUUUGGUCAGAUGUUUGCGGUGAAGGUUGUAAAAGUGUCUCUGAAGGAGGAAAUAAUUCUCUUGAUGUUCGGAUCCUCCUUCUUCUUCUACUUUGGUCUAACCCUUGAAGAAGAGGUUCAGAGUUUUUCUUGCUUCUAGUGCUAUAUACACAAGAAAACAAAACCUUAGAAAGAAAUUAUUAGAAGAAAAAAAAAAUCAAGUAAAAGUUAAUCAAUAUGCACACAAAUAAAAUAGUUAAACCACGAGUCCCCGACAACAACUCCAAAAACUUGUUAAGACUCCGGCUAGUGUACCAAAUAGAUGGAUGAGUUUUUAAGGAUUUCCCAUGCAAGACAAUGAAAGAAAUGUGGGAAGUUCUUGAAGUAACACAUGAAAGAAUUGAUGAGGUAAAACAUGCCAGAAAGAAUUCUCUUGUGCAGAUGUUAAGGCUCUGACAAGUGUACCGAAUCAUAUCAAGUAAUAUAAAUGGUAAAUCCAAGUAUCAUCUUCCUUAGAGACUCAUGGCCUAGACAUUCAUGUGGUUUCUUGAUUAAUUAAGACUUGUAAACGAAAUCAUGGUGUUUGUAAUGCAGAAAUAAAUAUGAAUGCAAGUGUUUGAUCAAUUGACUUGAAGAAUGCGCAGUUGAUUGAUGUAUAAAAUAUGGGAUGAUUAUGUUGUUCGAGUUUCCGACUUAUCCUAUCCACUCUCAUGUAUUUAUGAAUUUAUCUUCUUUAUUAAUGUUAAUGCCACUUUCUAAUUUACUUUAAACCUGAUGUCUCGAUGAAGAAAGCCUACUCUUAAUUACUAGUUCACAAUGUCUUGUAUCCCCAAUAAUUAAUUAUGCAUUACAUUUGCACAAAAGCAGUGUUGUGUGUGAUUUUGCAUAGAAUAUAUUUUCAAACUGAGCUGAAGUGUCUAAGUCGACUACAUGCGUAGUGGAUCCGACUUAGUAGUUAUUUGAUUUGAAAUUUUGUUAAUGCUUGUGUACAGUAACGACUAUAUUUCAAAUGUCGAUUAAAACAUUUAUGAUUGUCAACUGUGUUAAAUGCAAAAUCAAUUUGGUUGAUAUGACUGCUCCUAAUUUGCUUAACUAUUAUAAAUGUUUGAUGACAGUCGACUUCAUUAGUAGCACAAUCAACUACAGGAGCGUCUGAUUUAUAGAAACCUAUAAAUAGACGUGUCUCUGUUAAUCAUAGAGACUUUAGUUGAUCUAACAUUUUCUUUUUACUAUUUCAAAUUAAGAUCCUAUGAUUAAACGCUCCAAGAACUCAUCAAGAAGACUGUUGAGAUCUUUCUUUGAAGAGGUUCUGAAGGAGAAGAUUUGCGUGCUUACUGGCUGAUCAAACUCUGCACAUUGUGCUGUUCAUCUAUUCAUCAAGAUUUCUGUCAAUCUUUGGAAAGAAAUCUUGUUAUCCUGUUGUGAUUACAGGAGGUGUUCAAAGUGGGUUGAAGAUCACAGAAAAGGGGAUAUUUUGCUGCAGACCUUUGUAUUGUUGCCUAUAUUUUGGUUAGAGGGUUAGAGAGGUGUUUUAUAUCUUUGACGUGGAGGUGUCUAUAAAAGCCUUGUUGUAAAAACCUUAACCAUUAUAGUGCAUUUGCUUCUGGAUUGUGGAAGGACACUGGAGGUAGGCAUUGAGGCUGAACCAGUAUAAAAACUCUGCGUUUGAUUUCUCUAUCCUAGUAAUAUCAAGUAAUAAUAAAACGGUAAGUUCGAAUAUCGUUUCCUAAAGGACUCUUAGGCCGAAACGUUUGUGUGAAUUCUUGAUUGCUUAAGACUUGAUGGAACAAAAAGUUGGGUUUUUAAUGUAAGACAGAAAAUAAACAUGCAUGCAAAGAUUGAUCAAUUGACAGUUGAAUUAUAUAGAUGAAUGGUGUUGUUGGGGGUUUAUGAUUUCAUCCUAAUCCAUUCUCAUGUAUUUACAAAUUCUACACAAUUCUACUUCUUUAUCAAAGUUAGUGCCACUUUCUAAAUUCUCCUAAUUCCAAUAUCUUGGUGAUUAGAGUCUAAUCCUAAUUACUAGUUUACUAUGUCUAGUAUCCCUAGCAAUUAAUCAUGCAUUACAUAAUUCGCACAAAAGCUUUAAGGCAAUUGGUCCUCCUAUCCCUAUGUCGCAAUACUGCUACCAAGAGCAUUUCCUCAUCUCUAGACCUAACUAUACGUGUCCAUAUAAAUAGAAUAAAAAAUCAUGCUAUUGAUUAAUGUCUUAAGCAAAUCAUACAAAUAUAAUGGAGGGAAAACUCUAACAAUUGAUAAAAGAAAGCAUAUGAAAUUGCAAUACAUGAGAGUUUCAAUAGGAUUAAAUCAUUCCCCCAACAACAAAAGGGUUUAGUUCACCAUAAUCAUGGUGAAAAUAAAUGAAUUGAAUGAAAGAUAUGAAGAGAUAACCCUAGAUUUGAUCAAAUGGAGCUUCUGAAUCCAAAAUCUUCCUCCAAGGGGUGAGAAAGUGUGUUUCUGCUAUGAAAGAUGACCUCUAAGGGUCGCACAAAUCUAUCUAUAAACGAUGAAAAAUUACAGAAAACAGGCCCAAGCCCAAAGUACAACGCUCAGCAGUAGGUGCGACACUCAAGUGGGACACUCAGCAUGCACGCCUAGGCAUUUGGCAGUGUUGUUACUGAAGAGGCCAACGCUCAGUGGUGGGCACAACUUUAUCUUCUCCCCUCAGUGUUGGCACUUAAGCGUUUGACAGCGUACAAAUUGAAGAAGUCAGCGCUCAGCGGUGGAUCUGGCACUCAGCAUUGGGUGCGAUUCUAUCUUUUCCCCUUAGUGUUGGUGCCUGAACGUCUGACAUAGUCUAUUCAAUGAAACUAGCGCUCAGCAGUAUUUGCGUUUCCUCAUUUGUUCAUUUUUCCAUCUUUUCUUGAGUCCAAUUCCUUCUUACUUCAUUAUCCCUCUCUUAUAACCUAACUAAGACAAAAUGCAUGAUUUCAAGCUAGUUUCUAGGUCAUAAAGGGUGUGUUUUUUUAUCAAAAUUAAGUAUGAAAAUAACGGUUUUUGAACCAUUAUCAAAGAUUACCUUAGAGAAGCUCUUGAAGAGAUGUACUUGAAUGAAAAUACUCCUUCUGAAGUUGCAAUAGUACAUCAACAAGUUGAACAUAGAAGUUAUCAACAACCACGAGGCCUUUCUAUGGACAACAUCAUUGGAGAUAUCUCAAAAGGGGUAACCACCAGACACAACUUAAUUUUUUUUUUUGUUUAAAUGUUGCUUUCGUGUCUCAAAUAGAACCCAAGAACAUAGGCGAAGCUCAUCAAGAUGAAAAAUGGUGUAUCGCUAUGAAGGAAGAGCUUAACCAAUUUGAAAGGAAUGAAGUUUGGAACUCAUUCCUAGAGAAGAGCAUUACCAAGUGAUUGGUACAAAGUGGGUAUUCAGAAAUAAGUUGGAUAAAGAAGGAAACAUCACAAAGAACAAAGCAAGAUUUGUUGCUAAUGGCUACUGUCAAGAAGAAGGUUUAGACUAUGAUGAGACCUAUGCAUCAGUAGCCAAUUUAGAAGCAAUUAAACUAUUACUUGCUUAUGCAUCAUUAAUGAAAUUUAAGUUGUAUCAAAUGGAUGUGAAAAAUGCUUUUCUGAAUGGUUUCAUUAAGGAGGAAGUAUAUGUUAGUAAACCUCCUGGUUUUGAAGAUUUUAAAUUUCCUGAUCAUGCUUAUAAAUUGAAGAAAGCAUUGUAUGGCCUUAAACAGUCACCUAGGUUUUUGUAUGAAAGACUUAGUACUAUUGGGACUACAAAUAAAACAAAUGGGUGGGGGAACCUUUAUCUCCCAAACCAAAUAUUGUUGGGAAGUCCUUAAGAAAUUUGGAAUUGACACUUCUAAAGAAGUUAACACCCCUAUAGCAACUUCCUGUUAUUUAGACAAAGAUGAAUCUAGGCUAGAAGUAAACCAAACCAUGUUCAAAGGUAUGAUAGGUUCAUUACUCUAUCUCAAAGUAAGUAGACCUGAUAUUAUGCAAAGUGUAUGUAUUUGUGCUAAGUACCAAGUGUUAAGCCCCUGGCAAGUGUACCAGAUCAUUAUCAAUUAGUAAUAAAACGUUAAGUCCGAGUAUCGUUCUCCAAGAGGACUCUUAGGCCUUAUCUUUCAUGUAAAUUGAUAUUAUAAGACUUGUAAAGAAAUAAACUUGUGGUUAAAUGCAAAGAACGAAAAUAAACAUGCAAAUGCAAGUGAUUCAAUUGGCAAGGAAAAGAUAUGGAUGGAUGGAGUUGUUUGGGUUUACAAUUUCAUCUUAUCCACCCUCUUAUAUCUACUUUUCUUAUUAAAUUCAAUUAAUAAUCUAAUUGCCAUGCAACUUUCUUAGCCUACCCUAAACCCAAUCUCUUGGCAAAAAGAGCCUACUACUAACUACUAGUUUACUAUCUCUAGUUUCCUUGAGUAAUUAGCAAUGCAUUAAUCACAACAGCAAAUUACAGUUGAUCGUCCUACCCCUAUCUCUAGGCAGUAUUGCUUAAUCAAGGAAUUCCCUAUCAGUUCAUGACUUCCCCGUACGUCUUCAUAUCGACAAAGACAAAUUUCAUUUACUGAAUGAGUUAAACGAUAAAAGCAUUAAGCAUAGAUAAGAAACCCAACAAUUAAUAAUAUAAGCAUAUGCAAGCAUAUGAAUAAAACAAGAAUUUCAAUAUAAGAGAGUUUCAAUAGAUUACAUUGUUUCCCAACAACAAAGGGUUUAGUUCACCAUAGACAUGGUGAAACUAGAUGGAAUUAAAUGAAAGAAUGGAAGAGAUAACCUUAGAUUUGAUAAAGUGGAGCCUAAGCAUCCAAGAAAUCUCCUCCAAGGAGUGUAGAAUAGCUAUGGACCUCUCUGCUUGCCAAAAGAAUACUUUGAGGGUCGCAUUGGGACUACUUAUAAAGCAUAAAAGUAACAAAAUUUAAGCCCAGGCCCAUCAUUGCACUGCUCAGCGCCUAAAUUGGCCGCUCAGCGGUUUGCCUCCAAGCCGCAGAAUCGCUCAACGGUCAGUCUCACUGCUCAGUAGUUUUCCUCUAAUAGCAUUGGCCGCUCAGCGGCACCGCUUGGGCGAGAAGCAUUGAUUUCCCCUUUGUCUCUGGCGCUCAGCGUCAAAUCCCAGCGCUGAGCGAUGGACUUGCCUCUUUUUUUCUUCCCUUUUUCCUUUUUUCUUGAGUCUAAGUUCUCCCUACUUCACUUCCAUCUUCAAUUCUCAUCAAAACCCUGAACAUCAAUGCAAAAACAAGCAUAAUAUCUCUAAAAACAACUUUUGACUCUCAAGUGACUCAACUAAGUGUUUUACUUGAUUAUAAGAUCAUUCUAAGCCAAAAAUGGUGUGUUUUGAUACCAAUUUCAAGUAUAAAAAUAACGGUUUUAGGACUGUUAUCACCAAGCCAAUCCUGAAGAAUCCCACCUAACAGUUGUUGAGAGAAUUAUGAAGUAUCUUAAGGGAACUACUUUUUUUGCAUUAUGGUAUCCUUCCGACGCAACACCUAGCUUAAUGGGAUACUCUGACGCUGAUUAUGGGGCUAUAAAAUAGCAAAAGUAAGAGUGGAACAUAUCAUUUUCUGAACUGUUCUUUGGUGUCUUAGCACUCAAAGAAACAAGAGUGUGUAGCCUUGUCUACCAUAAAAACAAAAUAUAUUGUUGCUAAUAACUGUUAUGCUUAGAUUCUAUGGAUGAAACAACAACUGGAAGACUUUGAUAUCUUCCUUGAUGACAUUCCACUAAAAUGUGAUAACACUAGUGCCAUUAGCUUGACUAAGAACACCAUAAUGAAUUCAAGAACCAAACAUAUAGGAAUUAAACAUCAUUUCUUAAGAGAUCAUAUUCAAAAGGGUGAUUUUACCAUAGAAUACAUUGAGACAAUGCAUCAAUUAGUUGAAUGUUAUACAAUAAUCCCUUUAACAAAAUUUCUAAGUACAAACUUCAAGUUCAUCUAAUUUUCCCUAGGAUUUACUUAAGGAAGACCUUUUGAGAAGUAGAAUUCAUGAUUUUUUAUCGAGGCCGUACCUGAAUCAAAAGUGCAGUAUAAACUAAGAAGUGACUCCUAGGUCAUCUUUCAAGAAGCAAAUGUGGUUUAGGCAAUAGGUCAAACACGUGGUGGGGGCUGGUUUAUGGAUAGUUUUGUGAACAUAAUUAAACUAAUUGAAGCACAAAUUUAACACAAAUUUAACAAAAAGUUGGCCUUUGGAUCAAUUGCAAAGCUUCCCAUCCUUGAUUAAUAACAAACCAAACACUCAUCUUACCCUUAAUCCAACACGACUUAACCAACUAAGAGAAGGUUAAUCUGGUCUUCAAAUUUGCAAACUAAGCGAAUGCAACACACCUAUUCAAUUAAUUCUUCACCACAUAGACUAAUCAACUAAGCAAAGACUAACCACCAAUUCAGCAACUAAGCACAUACCUAAUUGCAAGCACAGACCCAACUUAAUACAAUGCAAGGUAAGACAACAGAUUACAAUUCACAGUCCAGAAAUCUCAAGUAAGCAAUGCCUGAUAACAGUUUAAAACACCGUUAUUUGUGAUGUAAUUUUGAUACUAAAAGCAUCUUUUUGAACAUAGAAACUUGCUUGGACUCAUGCUUUUUCAUUAAGUUGUGUGAAUAACAGAGUUGAGGUUGAUUUAAAUGAUUUUAUGACUAAUUCCCUUUGUUUUGACAGAGAUUGAGGUAAUACUGGAAGAAGAGAUGAAAAGCCAAGAAGAUGGAGCUUAGAAGGCCUAGAAAAGGCACCAGAAGGAGGGAAAACACGAAGCCCGGGUGACCAGAAGUGACGCUUAAGCGUGUUGUAUCGACGUCCAUCGCCCAGGGGUGGCUAUCACCACCCUGGCGGCAAGGCUUCGAAGCUUGGGCAUCCAAGAUGCCUGGGCCUUACAUGAGCUGUUUUGACCACCUAGACGGUCUCCCAGGACACUUAGGCGUCAACUUUUGUGGACCGAACCCUGUUUCUGCUCUGUGUCGAUUCUUUUAUACCGGACCCUAUUUUGGAACGCCUCUCACACUAUUUAAAGGACCCUGGGGCUCUAGGUUUUGCAUCCCUGACAGAGAAGAACAUAACAGUACACUUUUUUCCCAAUUCUUAGGCUUUCAUUCUCAUUCUUUUUUCCUUUAUUCAUAGAGUUCCCCUAUGUCUUUGGGGAACUAAUUUCUAUUUGUUGUUGGGGAAUGAUGUAACCUUGUAAACUCUCAUGUAUUUGAAUUAAUUCUUAAUUCCAUAUGCUUUUUCAUUAGUUGUUAGAUUAAUUCAUCUGUUUCUAUGCUUGCUUAUACAAUAUCAUGAUUUAUGAAUUGCAUGAGCGCUAGGAGAUUCCUUAGAAUUCAGGUUCUUGUUGAAUUACUCCCAAUGGUUAUAUUUCUCAAGGAUGAGGGUAUGAGUCUUGGUCAUCUUAAUCUCUUGUUCUUCACAUCUCUUUACCAGGAAUGCUAGGAAUUGAAUGAAUUGGUAAUUAGGGACAAGCUUAUUCACCGAGGGAUUAGGAUAGGUAAUUUAGUGAGAGACGUUGCUAUUAAUGCAUAAAGAAGAAUUCUUAUAUACAUGAGAGGGAACAUGGUGAAAUCUAACCCCAACAACAUACCCAUCUCAUAUAAAUCAACCUUCGUUCGUCUCUAUGUUCCUUUAUCACUAAUCAAUUUUAUUUUGUCUUAUUUUAUUAUUUUUGCCCAAACCCAAUUAUCACUUUUUAUUUUUGUCUUAAUUAAUCUUGUUUUCACACACUUGUUCAGCCCCAAGAGUCCUCUAGGAUACGAUACUUGGUCUUACCAUUUUAUAUUACUUGUGUGACUCGGUACACUUGUCGAUCCGUCUCAACAAGUUUUUGGCGUCGUUACUGGGGACUCACGGUUUAAUCUAUUUUAUUUGUGUGAUCCUUGAUUAAUUUUGACUUUAUUUUAUUUUAUUUUUUUAUUUUUUAUUUUUCAAUCUUUAAUUUUAUUUUAUUUGAGUUCUAUUCUGUUUUUUUAUACUAACAAUAUUUUCUAGAAUCUUUUUUGUGUAGGACUUAAGACUAGCAGGAGGCCGAAAGGAGAUAGAUUAUUUAGAGAACCCUUUCUAGAGAAAAUUUCACAGGCCUGAUAAUAUGAUCUAACAGGAUGCAAUUCUACCAAGGUAAUUUCAACUAUUGGUGGGAACCUAACUCAAGCACAAAUCAAAGUCAAUAUGGGCAAUUUGGUGGGUUAUUCACUAGACCACCACAAGCUAACAGUGUUACAAAGCUUGAAGAGACCCUCUUGUGGUUCAAGCAGGAAUCUCUCUCAAUUUAGGAAAGCACUCAAGCAGCAUCCGAAAGGAUGGAGGCACAGUGUAAAUUCAUAAUUCAAGAGCUAGAUAAUCUUGAGAGUUAUUUGAGUGAUGACCUUGGUAAGGAAUGCAGAGAUGUUGUCAUUGAAAGUUGCAAGAUGUCAGAUGAGGAGAGAGAAAAAGAAGAAGAUGAAAGUUUGGGUGAGAAAGAGAAAGAGUUAGAGAAGGAAGAAGAUGAGAGAAAAGAAAAAGAAAGGUUGAGUGAAAAAGAAAAAGAUGAAGUAAAGAAAGAAAAGGAAGAAAGUGAGGGAAAAGAAAAGGAAAAAGAGAGGGAAGAAAAGAAAGAGGAUGAGAGAAAAAGAGAGAGAGAAGAAAAAGAAUUUUUGAGUGAAAAGGAGAAGGAUGUAGAGGAAGAAAAAGAAGGGGUUGAGAGAGAAAAGAAAAAAAUUGAGAAAAGUCCUUUGUGCCCUAAGGAGUGUCCCAAUGAGAAAAAGAGAGAGGGGAAGGAUGAAAGCAAAAAGAAAGAAUCAUAUGAAAAACCCCUUCCUCACCUAAAGAAGGAUCAUAGGAAAAAAAAGGAAAAACCGUUUGAGCUUUCAUGGAAAUCUUCAAGAAAUUAGAGAUUAAAGUUCCUAUGUUUGAGACACUACAAAAGGUUCCUGGUUAUAUUAAAUUCCUAAAAAAACUCAACAAAAAGAAAAAAAUGUCUUGAGCCUAGUUCAUGAAUUUUUUUUUAUUUUGUUUUAUUUUAUUUUAUUUUUUAUUUUAUUUUAUUUUCUUUUAUUUGUUUGAUUUGGAUUUGAUUUUGUUUUUGUGUGUUUGAGUUCUUUUUUUUUUUAGGUUAUAUGUUGCUUCUGAUGAUAGUAAUGACAACAUCUACUGAUGGAUGCUUCCACAACAUCUACUAAUGGAUGUUUCUAUGAUGAGGAUCAUGAAUGGCAGCGUCUACUGAUGGAUGCUGCUACGGAUGUUCGGUGAUUAGGCAUCUACUGAUAGCUGCCGAUGAAGAUGAGGAAGAUUGGUGUCUACUGAGGGAUACCAAUGUAGAUAAGAAAUAUUAGCAUCUAUUGAUGGAUGCUAUAAGAUUGGGUCAAGCUAGUGACUUUAAAGAAGCGCUUGCUGGGAGGAAACCUAGUUUUUUGAACUAUUUCUUUUGAAUUUAAUUUUUGUUUUUGUUUUAUUUUAUUUUAUUUUUAUUGUGCUCUGCUUGAAUGAAUUGAACUGCUUUGAUUCAACUGUAUUGUGUUUGGUGAUGAACAUUGCUUUAUGAGAUUCUGGUGUUUGAUUGAUGUUGAGAUGGUGCAUGAUGUGGUAUAGGUGAUGACUCACAAUAUGUGAAACAUGUGCUUAAGAUAAAGUUUGAUUGAGAUAUUGAGCGGGAUGUUUUUAUGAAUUUUAGAACUUGUGAGUUUACCUGUGAGAGUUUUGGGCUUCAGAGUUGUUUGGAAAUAAUUGCUAUUACUUUGAAAGCAUGAAUGAUUUUGCCCAAAUUUUCUAUGAUUGAACUGAUUGGUUGCAGGUUUCAUAUGAUCAAGGCCAUCUUUUCGUUGGGGCAAAUCGACAAGUGUACCGAGUCGCACAAGUAAUAUAAAAUGGUAAGACCAAGUAUCGUAUCCAGAGGACUCUCAACGCUGAACAAUUGUGUGAAAAUAGGAUUAAUUAAGACUUAAAAAAAAGAGAUCAUGGAUUGUAUUGCAAAAGGAAUAAAAUAAAGCAAAGUAAAAGUGAUUAGUGGCAAAAGAGCAAAAAGAUGAAUGAAGGUUGAUUUAUAUGAGAUGAUUAUGUUGUAGGGGUUUGACUUCACCAAGUUCCCUCUCGUGUAUAUAAGAAUUCUUCUUUAUUCAUUAAUGCCAACGUCCCUCACUAAAUCACUUAAACCCGAUCCCUCGGUAAAUAAGUCUGUUCCUAAUUACCAGUUCAUACAAUUCCUGGCAUUCCUGGUAAAAAGAUGUGAAGAUCAAGAGGUUAAGACGACUAAGACUUAAACCCUCAUCCUUGAGCAAUAUAACCCUUAGGAGUAGUUCAACAAGGACCUGAAUUGAAAGGAACCUCUCGACACUCAGGCAACUCACAGAUCAUGCUAUUGUAUAAGCAAGAAUUAAAACAGAUGAAUUACUCUAACAAUUAAUGAAAAAGCAUAUGGAAUUAAGAAUCAAUUCAAAUACAUAAGAGUUUACAAGGUUACAUCAUUCCCCAACAACAAAUAGAAAUUAGUUCCCCAUAGACAUGGGGGAACCUAUGAAUAAUGGAAGAAAAGAAAGAAUGAAAAGACUAAGAAUUGGCUACGAGUGUAUUGUUAUGCUUGCUUCUGCCAGGGAUGCAAAACCUAGAGCCCCAUGGUCCUAUAAAUAGUGUUAGAUGCGUCCCAAAGUGCAGCCCGGUCCAAAAGAACUAAAUCAGAGCAGAAUCAAGGCCUCGUCCACGUGAAAUCACGCUCAAGCGUCGCAGGGAGCUCGCCCAAGCGUGAAUUAAGGGUCAUGUGAGGCGUGGGCGCCAGUUUUGGAUGCCUAGGCUUCGGGCGUCCGUCGCUCGGGCAUUGGGUCCGUCGCCCGGGCGACCAGCGUCGAUUUGGAACUCGCUGUUUUUCGUUCCUAUCGCCUGUGCUUCAGGUUUUCUCCCUUCUUGAUGCCUUUUUGACCCCUUUUGAGCUCCAUCUUCUUGGCUUUUCACUUCUUCUUCCAGUAUUGCUUCAACCUCUGUCGAAGCAAGGGGAAUUUAUUAGAAAAUUAUUAAAAUCAACCUCAACUCUGUUAUUCACACAAUUUACUAAAAACACAUGAGUUCAAGCAAGUUUCUAAGUGAAAAAAUGUGCUUUUAGUCUCAAAAUCAUAUAGCAAAUAGUGGUGUUUCAAAUCGUUAUCACUUUUCUUAUCCCUUAUUCUUUUGGCCUUCACAUAAUAUUUGCCACUGAAAAGAGAACCAUUUGUUCUAACCUUUGAACCUUGAACCUUAUGCAUGUUUGAAAAACCUUUUUUGUAAAAUAUCUUUACCUUGAGUUAAGUUGAGAACAUUUGAUGAGGUACUGAUAAAGGUUCAAGUUUUGGGUUGCUAGGUAGCAACCCACUUCUCUAGGUAGUGAGCAAUAAAAAGCAAAAGCGAAGGCAAAAGAAAAGAAAAGUAAAGAAAAGAAAAAUAAAAGGAGAAGAAAGAGCUUCCAGCAAGGUAAAACUGGGAAAAAGAAAGAGAGUUUGUUCUUAAAUGUUAAAUUCACAAAUAUCUCUCUUAACUCAAGGAACUUUGUUGUCUAGAUAAACCAAUUUCCUUCUUAGCCCAACCCAGUUACAAGCCAUGAAAAGCCCUUGUGAUGAUUACCUGCUUGUGAGUAUAAUUGAUUGUGGUUAAAUAAAAGGAAAAAUUAAUUUGUGCAAUAUUGUGAUAGCAGAGUGAAACACCUCACUAUAAACCUUUGAGUUGAGUAAAACACUCUUGAGUGCUUGAGUGAAACACUUUCCUUGGUGAAGAGUGGUUCUUUGAAUUUCUGAUUUCAUCUUUGCUUGGUUGAUUAAUCAUUCUUAAGGAUAGCAUUUGUUGAAAGUGCAUGAACAUCACAUGAAUUUUGAUUGAAUUAAGGCAUCUACAUAUCUUGACUGAGAUCUUUAUGUUGAAUUGAUAAAAGUGAUUCUUUGUCUUGAAAGAAAAAGUUUUUUUUGAAAAAGGUUGAGUCAUUGUAGUGAUUAUUCUGAAGAUGUGAGUUACAUGUUGUUUGCUUGAGGACAAGCAAAGUUCUAAGUUUGGGGUUGUGAUAACGGUUUAAAACACCGUUAUUUGUGAACGAACUUUGAUACUAAAAACACCCUUUNNCACUUAGAAACUUGCUUGGACUCAUGCUUUUUCAUUAAGUUGUGUGAAUAAGAGAGUUGAGGUUGAUUUCAAUUAUUUUAUGACUAAUUCCCUUAGUUUUGACAGAGAUUGAGGUAAUACUGGAAGAAGAGAUGAAAAGCCAAGAAGAUGGAGCUUAGAAGGGCUCAAAAAGGCACUAGAAGGAAGGAAAAAACGAAGCCCGGGCGACCAGAAGCGAGGCUUAAGCAUGCUGUAUCGACGUUCACCGCCCGGGCGGUGGCCUUUGUCGCCCGGGCGGCGGGGCUUCGAAGCUUGGGCGUUACAUGAGUUGUUUUGACCGCCCAAGCAGUCUCCCAAGACGCUUCGGCAUCGACUUUCAUGCACCGGGCCCUGUUUUAAAUUUAGAAAAGAAUGUUUUCCUUUUAAUAUGGGUUGUAUGAUGAAGUCAUAGUGAAUAUAUUGUGUAAAGAACACAAAUAUAAAGAAAGAAACCUAGACUCUAAAACUCAAAUAUUCAUCACCAACAUUUCAAACAUUAUUAAAACAUCUUAAUCGUCACUUGAGUCUUUGAAGGUCUUCUUCGANAUCUAUAAGCUUAAAGUAUAUCCUUAUCCAAAAUUUAAAAUGCAUUAUAAUUUAGUUUUUCACAUUUCAAUAUGUGAUCAAAAAAUACCAUAAAUUCCUUUAAGAUUUUCAUCAUUAGAUGUCUCAGUCUACGUGACUUAAACCAUGACGGAGCUAGAGAAUCCCUACUACAACAUAGACUUUUUACUUAAUACUUAGUCGUGAUUCAUAGAUCGUUGUAUAUAUGUGAGCUCAAAAACCAAACAAACAUACACACUCACAUAUGUGUUAUACCUUUUACCCUAUAGUAAGUGGUCAUUUAGCUUAAUAGGAUUUUUAGUCCCUAUGUAUGUAGUAGUGAUUCAAAAUUUUCCUUCUAUUUAUUAUCUGACUUAAUAUGGUUCAUAUAUUUGUUUUAGAAAGAUCCACUAUGGUCUCUUCCAUUAGAUUAAAGUUAAUGUUGUUUAGAUGAUGAUGAGUUAACAUCUAUUAAGUCAUUCUUCUUUUUCAUCCUCGAAACAAUGUUAGCAUAUGUCAUUUGUUUAUCCUCUAGAUGAUGUUACCGUUGAUCUAACGGAAAGGACCACAUUGAGUCUUUUAAAAAAAAUUAAAAGUCACAUUGAAUAAAAAUAUAAAUAUAGGUAAAACAUUAAAUCAUUGCUAUAAAUAUAUAAACUAAAACCGUUAUUAAUAAUCAAUGUUAACAAUAUCAUUUACACAUGUUAAGUCAAAAUAAAAAGUAACUUAAGCGUUACAAAAACGUUAUUAUAUUUAAACGCUUUUUCUAUUAUAAAUAUACCUUCUAUCUAUAUUUAAUGCAUAUAACUCAAAUAAUUAAUGAAAAUUUUUAUUGUUUAAAGAUCAAAGUUGAGUUUAAAAAAAUUUCAAAACCAAAUAUUAUUUAAUAUAAUGUUGUUAUAAUAUUGUUUUCUAUUUUAUUUUUUAUAAGGGAUUCACUUAUAAGGAAUUACUCUUUAUGAACCUUUUAUUUAAUCUUAAAUUAACUACAUAGAUAAUUAUGAUUAAUGAAGUAUAUUACGUAAUGACUUGUAAAAUGCUGGAGAGUAGAAAUAUUAUUUACAAGAAAUACUCUAUUAUUUUAUUAUAAAUAUCUUAUAAUUUAUAAGAUGAUGACACUUCCUUACCGAUGUCGUGAGUAAAGUAAAACAUUCUUAUAUCCAAAAAAAAUUAAAAUUUGAUUUCAUCACAGAUAACUAUAGUUAAAUACCUUUUUUUGUCCCAGUUUUGGUUACGAAUAUUCAAACUGGUCCCCAUUUUAUUUUUCUGUUCAAUAUAGUCCUAAAGAGCGUAAUUAUGUUCAAUUUAGUCCUUUUUAUGUUCAAUGUAGUCCUAAAGAACGUAAUUUGUGUUCAAUUUAGUCAUUGUUUGUGGUUCAUGGAGUUUGUAAAAAGGACUAAAUUGAACACAAAUUACGUUCUUUAGGACUACAUUGAACAGAAAAAUGACUAAAUUGAACAUAAUUACGUUUUUAGGACUAUAUUGAACAAAAAAAUAAAAUGGGGACCAUUUCGAAUAUUUGUAACCAAAACUGGACCAAAAAAGGUAUUUUACCUAAAAACAUUAAUUCGUUUAAAAUUAAAUAAAUGAAAAUUUAUUUCAAUAUCGAAAAUUUUCAUAUAAUAUUCCAAAAUCAUUAUAUCAAAAUUAGUUGAAAGUGUUUUUAAAAACAUAAACUACAAAAAUCUCAAAGCACUUCCAAGAACUUGUUCGCUCUACUCAUGAAUUGAAACAUCUGUAAGAACAUCUACUCUUAUAUAACAACAAGAGUUAUACAAUCAUCGCACUAUGCACAAACAAUAAGAGUGAUCUACCAUAAUAACCACCUAAUAAUAUAACAAACAAUAAAUAUCAAUCAUUGUAUUAAUGCUAUCAAUAUGACACAUCAAACAUGGUCAUCUCAAUUAUAAGCCACACCCAAACAUGCCACAACCAAACAAUUUCAAAACAUGUGUUGUUCUUUUGUAUUUUAUUGUACAAAACUUGUUCACCAAAGCAGGGCACCUAUUCACCAAAAUAGGGUAGUUUGAGUCGUCCUCCAUUGUAACUUUAGACAUAUCUCCCCGACUCCUUGAGGACUUAUGAGUAAAAACUCUAUUGCUGCUCACAACGGACACUGUACUCAACUGGAGCCAGAAACCUACGGGCGAGACAUUAUUCCCUUUCUAUCCCUCCGAAACAGGAAAAGGGAAACAUUCAAACCUCAUCUCUUCUAUCGCCUCUAAGAGACGAAGAGAUCCACCUUUCUACCCUAUCGAAAAGGAAACAUGACUAUCUUUCUACAACCUCCCAAGAAGAAAGGUACAACCACAAAUUUAUGAAGUACGACAAGAAGACCUAACAACCUUGUAGUAACAUAAACAUCAUAGCAACUCGAUACACACACCAACACAAGGAAAACAACGUGGCAACCCUCACCAACAGCUCGGGAAAGGUCUAAAACCCCCAAAAAUGACCUAAAAAGUGUUCAAAAUCGAUUUCUAAUUCCCCAAAUUCAAGGUCUUAAACAACUUAGUUACCCGAGAUGACCCACCAUCCCAAACUACUGAAUAUCCUAGACGACCCAGCAUCUUAGACAACCCAACAUCUCACAAUGACCUAGCGUAUAAUAACUCAGUUACACCCCAAACGAUCUAGCGUCCCCAUACAACCCAACAUUCCUAGACGACCCAACUUAACUCCCAAAUGACCUAGUUUCUGUACUGGAUGACCUAGUGCCCCCAAUUUUCCAAGCAUCCCUAAACGACCUAGUUUCACUGUCAAAUGACCAAUUUUCACUCUCAAACGAUCCAACGUCCCCAGAUGACCGAGUCUCAAUCCUAGAUGACCUAAUUUCACUCCAAGAUGAGCUAGUUUCACUUCUAGACGACCUAGUUUCACUCCUAAAUAAAUUAGUGUCUCCGUAUGACCUAAUUUCACUCGUAGAUGAACUAAUUUCAGUCACAGACUUAUUUAAGAAUCUAGUUUCAUCCUACAUUAAUUUUUAGAACCCAUUUCCAAUACCAUAGACAUUAUAACCCUAAUAUAUACACUAAACCACAAGUGUGACACUAUUAAACCAUCAAAACUCUAUACUAAAAACAACAACAUUUUCUCACUAUUAUGCUCAUUUUUUUUAUCACAAAACAUUGAGCAAAACAACAAAAAAUAUUGCACAGAAAGAAAAUUAUAACCACUGCCUAAUACCCAUAUUUUUGCUCCAAAGCAACAUAAGAAUGUCUAUUCUAGACCAGAAACACUCUAAUUCCUUAAUUGUACCAAUUAGCACAACCAUUUCAUUACACAGAAAAUAUAGAAUUUGGCUAAACUAAUAGAUGGAUAACAUACCUGUCUUGGUUCUCCUUUAAUGAAUUAAUCACUACAAAAAUAUAGUAUUAUUUACCUACCCAGAAAUGCAACAUAUGCUCACAAAAUAAUUCCUCACAAAACAAAAAUCGAAUUCACAUUCAUCACCAAGUCCAAUCAUAAUAUGCUCCUAUCAUGCAUUACAUGAAUAUCUAACCACACAUGCUCAUCAUACCAUACUUUAUGUAAGGUAAGAAAGUUUAAAUGUUUAAAAGGAGACCAAAUGCACCUAGAAAUGCAUUCUAACGGAGAGAAAAGGCAAAGACGAUGAAACUGUUGAUCGCAAACUGCUGGUUCGCACUGUUACUUAACAAGAAAUUAGAGGUCAGUUGGACACAAAACCGAUAUCUAUAAUUGAUUAUAUGUCGGGCGCGUCACUAAUAUGAUGUCCAUUGUAUUUAAAAAUUAAUGUUUGUGUUAUAUAUAGACGUCGGCUUGGCGGGAUAAGACGUCUAGUUGGCGGAAACAAAUGACUUUUUCACCACCUGGUCAGUUUAUAUACAUUCGUUACUCAAGCAACGAACGUCUAUAAUUGUUGUUGGACGUCAUUUCGGCUUGACCUGCGUCUAAGAGGCAGAAAAGAUUGACUACUCAUUUACCCGGCAGACAUAUAGGCGUCAAGUAGUAGGUUCACCGACGUCUAUAGUCUGAAAGGUAGGGUGAACAACAAUUAAUUUCCGCCAUAUAGACGUCGGUGCCCCUCCAAACCGACGUCUAUAUUUCUGAAAAGAAAUGACUUUUCACCUAACUGUCAGACAUAUAGACGUUAGAUGGGAGGUCCCCGACGUCGGAGAACCUUCUAACUGAUGCCUGUAUGACCAAAUUAUUUACAAAAAUAGCACUGAUCAUCAAUAUACGUCACUCUUACCCUUAACCGACGUCUAAGGGAUGACGUUGAAUAGCAUUUUUACACUAGUGUAUAUAUAUAUAUAUAUAUAUAUAUAUAUAUAUAUAUAUAUAUAUAUAUAUAAGAAAACAUUAUUGUAAUACAUUUGUGUAAUACUUAAGGAUAACAUUUGUUGAAAGUGCAUGAACAUCACAUGAAUUUUGAUUGAAUUAAGGCAUCUGCACAUCUUGACUGAGAUCUUUAUGUUGAAUUGAUAAAAGUGAUUCUUUGUCUUGAAAGAAAAAGUUUUUUAAAAAAGGUUGAGUCAUUGUAGUGAUUAUUCUGAAGAGGUGAGUUACAUGUUGUUUGCUUGAGGACAAGCAAAGUUCUAAGUUUGGAGUUGUGAUAACGGUUUAAAACACCGUUAUUUGUGAAUGAACUUUGAUACUAAAAACACCCUUUCGCACUUAGAAACUUGCUUGGACUCAUGCUUUUUCAUUAAGUUGUGUGAAUAAGAGAGUUGNGGUUGAUUUCAAUUAUUUUAUGACUAAUUCCCUUAGUUUUGACAGAGAUUGAGGUAAUACUGGAAGAAGAGAUGAAAAGCCAAGAAGAUGGAGCUUAGAAGGGCUCAAAAAGGCACUAGAAGGAAGGAAAACACGAAGCCCGGGUGACCAGAAGCGAGGCUUAAGCAUGCUGUAUCGACGUUCACCACCCGGGCGGUGGCCUUUGCCGCUCGGGCGGCGGGGCUUCGAAGCUUGGGCGUUACAUGAGUUGUUUUGACCGCCCAAGCAGUCUCCCAAGACGCUUCGGCAUCGACUUUCAUGCACCGGGCCCUGUUUUAAAUUUAGAAAAGAAUGUUUUCCUUUUAAUAUGGGUUGUAUGAUGAAGUCACAGUGAAUAUCUUGUGUAAAGAACACAAAUAUAAAGAAAAAACCUAGACUCUAAAACUCAAAUAUUCAUCACCAACAUUUCAAACAUUAUUAAAACAUCUUAAUCGUCACUUGAGUCUUUGAAGGUCUUCUUCGANAUCUAUAAGCUUAAAGUAUAUCCUUAUCCAAAAUUUAACAUGCAUUAUAAUUUAGUUUUUCACAUUUCAAUAUGUGAUCAAAAAAUACCAUAAAUUCCUUUAAAAUUUUCAUCAUUAGAUGUCUCAGUCUACGUGACUUAAACCAUGACGGAGCUAGAGAAUCCCUAUUACAACAUAGACUUUUUACUUAAUACUUAGUCGUGAUUCAUAGACUGUUGUAUAUAUGUGAGCUUAAAAACCACACUCAAAUAUGUGUUAUACCUUUUACCCUAUAGUAAGUGUUCAUUUAGCUUAAUAGAAUUUUUAGUCCCUAUGUAUGUAGUAGUGAUUCAAAAUUUUCCUUCUAUUUAUUUUCUGACUUAAUAUGGUUUAUAUAUUUUUUUUAGAAAGAUCCACUAUGGUCUCUUCCAUUAGAUUAAAGUUAAUGUACUUUAGAUGAUGAUGAGUUAACAUCUAUUAAGCCAUUCUUCUUUUUCAUCCUCGAAACAAUGUUAGCAUAUGCCAUUUGUUUAUCCUCUAGAUGAUGUUACUGUUGAUCUAACAGAAAGGACCACAUUGAGUCUUUUAACAAAAAUUAAAAGUCACAUUGAAUAAAAAUAUAAAUAUAGGUAAAAUAUUAAAUCAUUGCUAUAAAUAUAUAAACUAAAACGUUAUUAAUAAUCAAUGUUAACAAUAUCAUUUACACAUGUUAAGUCAAAAUAAAAAGUAACUUAAGCGUUUCAAAAACGUUAUUAUAUAUAAACGCUUUUUCUAUUAUAAAUAUACCUUCUCUCUAUAUUUAAUGCAUAUAACUCAAAUAAUUAAUGAAAAUAUUUAUUGUUUAAACAUCAAAGUUGAGUUUAAAAAAAAUUCAGAACCAAAUAUUAUUUAAUAUAAUGUUGUUAUAAUAUUGUUUUCUAUUUUAUUUUUGAUAAGGGAUUGCAAACUACUAGUUCGCACGGUUACUUAACAAGAAAUUAGGCGUCAGUUGGACACAAAACCGAUAUCUAUAAUUGAUUAUACGUCGGGCGCGUCACUAAUAUGAUGUCCAUUGUAUUUAAAAAUUAAUGUUUGUGUUAUAUAUAGACAUCGACUUAGCGGGAUGAGACGUCUAGUUGGCGGAAACAAAUGACUUUUUCACCACCUAGUCAGUUUAUAUACAUCCGUUACUCAAGAACCGAACGUCUAUAAUUGUUUUUGGACGUCAUUUCGGCUUGACCUGAUGUCUAAGAGGCAGAAAAGAUUGACUACUCAUUUACCCGACAGACAUAUAGGCGUCAAGUAGCAGGUUCACCGACGUCUAUAGUCUGAAAGGUAGGGUGAACAACAAUUAAUUUCUGCCAUAUAGACGUCGUUGCCCCUCCAAACCGACGUCUAUAUUUCUGAAAAGAAAUAACUUUUCACCUAACUGUCAAACAUAUAGAUGUUAGAUGGGAGGUCUCCGACGUCAGAGAACCUUCUAACUAACGCCUGUAUGAUCAAAUUAUUUACAAAAAUGCCACCGAUCCUCAAUAUACGUCACUCUUACCCUUAACCGAUGUUUAAAGGAUGACGUUGAAUAGCAUUUUUACACUAGUGUAUAUAUAUAUAUAUAUAUAUAUAUAUAUAUAUAUAUAUAUAUAUAUAUAUAUAUAUAUAUAUAUAUAUAUAAGAAAACAUUAUUGUAAUACAUUUAUGUAUCAUCAUUUUAAGGAAAUGUUUUUCUUUCAUAAGUGAAAAUAUAUUAUAUUUAAUUAUUCUUACAUAUAUAAUUUGAGUUAUUAAUCCAAAAUUAAAUAAAAAAAUACUCAUUGAAAGUAAUAUUUUUCGUUUACUUUUGCAGGAAGUGAAUCUUCUCAUCAUUUUUACAUAUUGUUUUCAAAAUUACUAUUUUAAAUUAAUUUUUGUGUUUAAAAAUUCAUUACAUAUUAAAUAUUUUUUAAAUUAUGAAAAAUCAAUAAGUUAUUAGUUAGAUGUAAUCAAAAUAUAUUAGGAAGUUACAAAAUGUAUUUUGUGGAAUUUAAAAUAGUAAUGAGAAUUUUUUAUAUCUGGGUGGAAACUUUAAACAUAGUAUAAAAUGAAUCAGAAGCAAUAGUCGGUAGAGAGUUAAAAAAUAAAUUUUUGAGCAAAAAAAGUAAAUAGAAACUCUAUUUUUGAAUAUUUCCAUCUUCCUUUUAAAGAAAUACUUAAUUAAAUCUUGUGAGAAAAUAUAUUUGGUGAUUUCUAAGUUAAUACCAUCUGCAUUUUCUUUAUUCACAAAUUGAGUUCAAAAGGAUAUGAAGAUAAAAUUAGUGACGUGACUGGGAUUAACUUCAUUAGUUGUUAAUUUUCGGAUUUGUUAUAAUUACUUAAACUAUGUUUAAAUUGUGAAAAAUUCCGAAAGAAGUAAUAUGUUAUUUCACUAUAAAUGGUUGACCGUAAUUUUAAAAUAGGAAGGAUUCUACCUUAUCUUUUAUUAAUAAAAUAGGUCAUAUUGAAUAAGUUUUUUUCUUUAAAUUUUAAUUAUAACAGGAGUAUUUUAAAAUUCGCUUUUCAUGAAUUAAGUACAAUUUGUCAAAAUUGUGAUGGUCACCAUCACGUGUAGGACCCAAAGGCCACAUGUGGAGUACCACACAGUACAAAUUUCUUCUCUUUCAAAUUAACUUUAUCAAUAAACAAAACGUGUUUUCACAUUAUUUUAUGCAGUUAUAUUCUACUUAUGCAACAUCAAUUACUAUUGUCAAUAUUUAAUAUUUAAAAAAAAAAAUUCAACUUUUUAUGAAAUUUUAUGUCACUCAUUCUUUUCUCAUAAGUAUGUCUAAAAAAUUUCAUAUAUAAUAAACAUCGAAUUUGAAAGUUUUUACUAAAUUAUGUAUUUUAACAAUAAUAAAUUCACUCAAUAUCAAAUAAUAUAUAUUACUCAUUGCUUUGUACACUAAAUAUUAAUUAAGUAAUUCAGUAAUAAUCUAAAAACGAGUAGCAUAAUAUGUUUAAUUAGAAUACUAACUUUAUAAUGUACUAAACCCUGCAUUUAAAUUUAUAUUUAUAUACUGUAAAUAUUUAAAAGAUAUAAUCAAUUUAUUUUAAAGUAUCGAAAAAGUCUUAUAUAAUUAAAAAUAAAGAGUUAGUUUUUCUCACAAUUGUAUUCAACUAGUUUUUUAAAGAUAAAAUGAUAAUUUUAAUUAAAUUUAACAUAGUGGUAUAAGAAUAUUUUGACAGUUGAUGUCUUAAAAAAAAAAAUUGUGGUUAGAAAAAGAUUGAAGUGAUUUAGAGAGAAGGGCAGUUUGGAGAUUUGAGAAUUGAAUGAAGAAUGUUAAAGGAAAAUAAUAAAAAGGAAAAAGAAAAAAAAAAAGUCUUAAAUAGAAGGGGGGACAGGCUCACAUCAUACUGACCUGUUAAUCUAAAUAAAAACACAUCAUAGAUUAACUUCAAUGAUUAAAGGUCAAUGCAAGAGCCAUGUUGAUGUCCUGUUUCGUCAUUUUAACUCAAUCUGCCCAACUGCCACUGAAAUCCAAAACCCCAAAAAUAUCAUCAACAAAAAGCAUACUAAAGAUAAACUUCAUCUUCUUUCUUUCUCCUUCCAAAAUUAAAAUUAUUUUUUCAAAGUAAAAAAGAAAAAGCUGACUUAUAUGAGUCGGCCUUUAACUAAAUUUAGCUGCACAGACAAAACCGAGUUAUUAUUUCCAUCGUCUCUUUCUAUACCUGUUCAAAACCCUCUGCACCACUUUUAAUCAAUCUUUAUUUUCUCCCUCUGUAAUAAAACAAUAAAUAAUAAAUAAAUAAAUAAAUAAAUAAAAUACUUCCUCUAUAUACAUAUAUCUUUCUGUGCCACUUUUUUUAUUACAGUGAGAGAAAACCAGGUGCAUGAAUUUAGUAAUUUACUUUCCCCAAGAUCACAACUUUAACUAAAAAUAAAAAAAUAAACUUUAAAAACAAUCAAGGAUUCCACCUUCAAUUAAAAUAAAGUCAAGUGCAUUAAUUUUAAUAUUACUAAUCAAUUAACAGAGUUGAAUGGAUUUUCUGAGUGCAGGUUAUGGUAAUUAGUAUUAAAAUUAAAAAAUUUAACUAGUUUUUUUUUUGUGUAUUUUAUUUAUUUAUUGAAUUAUUAAAAAAGUGAAUAAAAUUAACCAUAUUUGAUGAUAUUAUUUAUGUAAAAAAUCUAAAAGUAAAAAAAGAAAACAUUUAUUGUGUUUAUUACUGACAUGUACAUACAAACAAAUUGAAUAAAGGAGGAAAAUAAUAAAAUUCUUGAGAUUAGUAUUACCAGGCAGAUCCCACCCAAAUAAAUUAAUAAAUUCACCGAACAUACACGUUCAUACACACAUCUAUGAUAAAACCCAUCAAAGAAUUCACCACCCUUUUUCUCCUCUUCUUCUCUUUUUUCCCCCACAUAUUAUUUUUUUCCUCCUCUGUAAUUGCCUAGGUUCUGUGCUGUUUUUGAAAAGAGAGAGAGAGAGAGAGAGGUAGAGGUAGAUAGAGACCACAGAAAAGAGAGAGAGAGAGAGGGGGGUGAGAAAGAGAGAGAGAGAGUCCUAUGCUGGGGGACUCAGCAGUGUUGGGAACAGGUGGAGGAGGAGGGUCUGGAGAUGCAGUGGUGGCAGCAGGAGGGGGUGCUGUUCAUGACGGUGCUGUUGACGUGGCAGGCGGUGGUGGCGGCGGUGGUGGAGGAGGAUCAAAUUCAGGGGAUGAUGAGAGGGGGAGAGUGGAGGAAGGUGACAGGAGCUUUGGUGGUAACAGAUGGCCGAGACAAGAGACUCUGGCUUUGUUGAAGAUACGGUCGGAUAUGGACGUGGCUUUCAGAGAUGCAAGUGUGAAGGGUCCUUUGUGGGAAGAGGUUUCAAGGUGAGUCAUUGAAUUCGGUCUUAAUUCUUUGGUUUUGAGGUUUUCUGUGUUCAUCACCAUAACUCGGUGCUGUGCUCACUUCAAGUUUGAUGCUUUGGAGAUCUGAAAAACUCUCAAUUAUUCUUCAAGAUUUGCUCUUUCAUCUCCUGGGAAUGUGUUUCACUUCAAUUCCGUGUUUUUUGUUUCCUUUGAGGUUUCUGCAGAGCUUUCGUUUGGAUUUGUUUAAUUCAGUUUCAGUUUUUAUGUUUGUUUCAUUCUUAAUCUCUGCCAGCUAUAGUUCUCUCUCUCUCUCUCUCAUCACCUUUUCCUGUUCCUUCUUUUAAGUUGUGUGGAAGGACUGUUUGUGAAAAGAUGUAAUUUAGAGUUGGAUAUGUGAUGUGUUUUUUUUUUUUUUUUUUUUUCUGACAUUCAUUUUGAUACAUGUUGCGUUUACCAAAUAAGUUGCCAACUUAAAUUGGGUGUUGAAAAGCAACAUUUUCUUCCACCUUGUUUCAGUUAGCCACUCUUGGUGGGAAUGAAAGAGGUAGAUUGCACAAUCUUCUAACUUGGGUUCAUGUGUUGUCCAUGGGAAGAGUUUCCGUUUCACCAAUUCAUGGUGUUUGAUAUUAUUAUUGUUAUUAUUAUUUAAUUAAAGCUUUUACUCCAGUUACAUCAUCAAUUUUGAUAUUAUUAUAUAUUCUCCUUUAAUUUCCUUCCCUUGUUUUAAGGUCUUCAGUUACUUCCUUUCCCCUCCAUUUCCGUUCAUGGGUACUUGAAAUCCUGAGAUGUUUAAUACUUUAACUUGCUUCUUUUGUAUUAUCUUAUGCUUCUUUCUUCCAUUGCCAACUAUGUGCCAUGGACUUGAUGAGAUAAGAUAACGCCACAAAGCUUGUAUUUUUACUUUGUCUUCUUUUGGGGUUAUUAUUACUAUCAGGAAGCUGGCAGAUCUUGGCUACCACAGAAAUGCCAAGAAGUGCAAAGAGAAGUUCGAGAACGUUUACAAGUACCACAAGAGAACCAAAGAAGGCCGCAGUGGGAAAUCAGAAGGCAAAACUUAUCGCUUCUUUGAUCAAUUACAAGCCCUUGAAAACAACCCUGCAAUUCAUCCUAUCCAAUCUCCACCACCACCACCAGUAACAACAACAACAGCACUACCCGCAACACCAGUGUCAAUAGUCGUAACAACCACACCCUCUUCAAUAAUGUCUCUUCCCCCGACCACAUCGUUGCCAUUGCCACCUGUGUCUAACAACACCACUGUUCCAUCCCCAACAACACUCCCUGUGCCUCAAUCCAUUCUCGCCCUCACAACCUCUUCCUUCCCAUCAUCAAACCCUACACCAUACUUCCCAACACAAACACCAAACCCUACACCCAACAACACCAACACCAAGAACCCUCUAAACACCAUCGCCCCACCUUCCUUCCCCAACAUUCCGACUGAUCUCUUGUCCAAUUCCAGCUCUUCCUCCACCUCUUCGGAGGAAACAACCACGGAGGGAGGGGGAGCGAGACGCAAGAGAAAGAGGAAGUGGAAGGACUUCUUUGAGAGACUCAUGAAGGAAGUUAUAGAGAAACAGGAGGAGCUGCAAAGGAGGUUCCUGGAGGCCAUUGAGAAGAGAGAACAAGAGCGUGUCGCGAGAGAAGAAGCGUGGAGAAUGCAAGAGAUGCAAAGGAUCAACAGGGAAAGGGAGAUUCUUGCACAGGAGAGAUCCAUUGCUGCCGCUAAAGACGCUGCUGUUAUGGCAUUUUUGCAGAAGAUGGCAGAACAUCAGCAAGAGGAAAAUAAUCUUCAACCAGCAUUGAAUACCAACAACAACAUCAUCGCUAUUACUCCACAGCAACCGAUGCCACAAGCAACUCCAACACCAACACCACAGCAAAAACAAACAACAACUGUUCCCGAGGCCCCACCAGUGCAGUCCUUGGUCCCACAGCCACAGCAACAUCAGGUGCAGCAACAACAACAACUAGUGAUGACUAAUGUGGAAACCAAUAAAGCUGCUAAUAACGGUGAGAAUUUGAUGAUGGGAGCGAGUUCUUCGCGGUGGCCAAAAGUGGAGGUACAAGCGCUGAUAGAUCUGAGAACAAACCUGGAAACAAAGUACCAGGA